This 479-nucleotide ribosomal RNA is filed under the name uncultured bacterium. Its description in RNAcentral is "bacterial SSU rRNA". It matches the Rfam family "Bacterial small subunit ribosomal RNA", at positions 36 to 507 of the family's 1533-position model. The record is from RNAcentral.
CCUAGCGGCAGGCUUAACACAUGCAAGUCAGGGGUAACAUAGAAAAGCUUGCUUUUCUGAUGACGACCGGCGCACGGGUGCGUAACGCGUAUACAACCUACCUUUUAGCGGGGAAUAGCCCAGGGAAACUUGGAUUAAUGCCCCAUAGUAUAUAGACUUCUCCUGAAGUUUAUAUUAAACAUUUAUGGCUAUUAGAUGGGUAUGCGUCCUAUUAGUUAGUUGGUAAGGUAACGGCUUACCAAGGCAGCGAUAGGUAGGGGUCCUGAGAGGGAGAUCCCCACACUGGUACUGAGACACGGACCAGACUCCUACGGGAGGCAGCAGUGAGGAAUAUUGGACAAUGGGCGAGAGCCUGAUCCAGCCAUGCCGCGUGCAGGAAGACUGCCCUAUGGGUUGUAAACUGCUUUUACAGAGGAAGAACCACCCCCACGUGUGGGGGUUUGACGGUACUCUGCGAAUAAGGAUCGGCUAACUCCGUG